GAUGAAGAACGCAGCGAAAUGCGAUACUUGGUGUGAAUUGCAGAAUCCCGUGAAUCAUCGAGUCUUUGAACGCAAGUUGCGCCCGAAGCCUUUUGGCCGAGGGCACGUCUGCCUGGGUGUCACGCAACGUCGCCGCCAGCACACCCUUCCCUUAGGGGAUCGGGAUGUAGCUGGGGGCGGAUUUUGGCCUCCCGUGCGCCUCAGCGCGCGCGGUUUGCCUAAAUUUCAGCUCACGGCGAGGAUCGCCACGACAAGCGGUGGUUUUUUGAACUAAGGACCUCGGGUGUUGUCGUGCGGCCUCGCGGAGAGAAGGAACCCCCGUGCGCUAGCGCACACUCUUAACGAGACCCCAGGUCAGUCGGGAACACCCGCUGAAUUUAAGCAUAUCAAUAAGCGGAGGAU
Molecule: unclassified non-coding RNA, 402 nt
Filed under: soil metagenome
Description: partial contains 5.8S ribosomal RNA, internal transcribed spacer 2, and large subunit ribosomal RNA
Rfam family: 5.8S ribosomal RNA (bases 1-122)
Source: RNAcentral